UACGUAGGGUGCGAGCGUUAAUCGGAAUUACUGGGCGUAAAGCGUGCGCAGGCGGUCUGUUAAGACCGAUGUGAAAUCCCCGGGCUUAACCUGGGAACUGCAUUGGUGACUGGCAGGCUUUGAGUGUGGCAGAGGGGGGUAGAAUUCCACGUGUAGCAGUGAAAUGCGCAGAUAUCAGGAGGAACACCAAUGGCGAAGGCAGCUCGCUGGGACGGUACUGACACUGAGACGCGAAAGCGUGGGGAGCAAACAGG
This 254-nucleotide ribosomal RNA is filed under the name uncultured prokaryote. RNAcentral describes it as "partial 16S ribosomal RNA". It matches the Rfam family "Bacterial small subunit ribosomal RNA", at positions 524 to 776 of the family's 1533-position model. The record is from RNAcentral.